Homo sapiens (human) is the source of this 654-nucleotide long non-coding RNA. Ensembl annotates it as KIF5C antisense RNA 1. Its record names the gene KIF5C-AS1. The record is from Ensembl. NCBI's taxonomy places the organism in Eukaryota, Metazoa, Chordata, Mammalia, Primates, Hominidae.
CGGAGUGGCCGCCUCCCACCACAGGGCCCCCUAAUGGGCGCUUUUGUCCUGCGGGGCAGAGGGACCUCAUUAGAAGGCGCUGGUGCUAAAGGGAAAUGCAUUUCCAGAACAGGAGGUUUCAUCAUUCCUAGCGUUAGCGACAGAAUGGUGACAGAAGCAUUCAGAGAGGAGAGAAAAAAGUCGGCCCUGGAAGCCAUCCCAGGAAACCAGACCCUACAGAGGUCAGCCUGUCACAGAGGGCAGAUGCAGGAAGGAACUGACAGCCUCACUCGGGAUCCUGCCCACCAGGAACCAGGACUGGAAGAGGUUUGGAUACUGACCAGAUUGGCAUUUGUCCCUGACUAUGGGACAAGAGGUGGCUGUAAAAGGGGAACAAAAGUCCCUUCCCCCAUGACUAUCCAAAGUUUCUAAUAUCGAUGGAGUUGUUAUGUGCCCAGAUUCCCAGGUGAAAAUCAAUAAUCUCUUAGGAGUGAGGUGCCAGACAGGUUGUUCAGAGAAAAACUAUGAUAUAAUCUCCUCAGAGAAUUGAAGCCGACUGCUUGGCAAAAUAAGACCUGGAAAUGGGAGAGACCAGUAAAAGACUAAGCCUGACAAAGGAAGAGUCCCACCAUGUGUCAAUACAGAAUUGUGUAACGAACAUCUUCAAAUAAAAUG